Molecule: long non-coding RNA, 275 nt
Filed under: Struthio camelus australis
Lineage: Eukaryota; Metazoa; Chordata; Aves; Struthioniformes; Struthionidae
Description: lncRNA (ENSSCUG00000007971.1)
Source: RNAcentral
AACCACUAUUCAAACAACACUUUCGAAAUGGCAACUGGCUGUGGCAGGCUCCGAUUCACUGUGCUUUAGUCAUGACUGUUGCUUCACGCUUGUUCCUAGAAGAGGAGCUGGACUAUAAUCAAAUGAAAACUUCCUUCAAGAAAAAAAGAAUCAACGCAGUGUAUGCAGAAAAUGGUGGGGCAGAGGCAGGAGGAAACAAAACAGAUGGUUUCAAAUAGCUUCCUUUAAAACAUCGGGAUUUACAACACCUUCUGCAUGGUGUUGACAAGAAACUU